UACGUGGGGGGCAAGCGUUGUUCGGAAUUACUGGGCGUAAAGGGCUCGUAGGCGGCCAACUAAGUCAGACGUGAAAUCCCUCGGCUUAACCGGGGAACUGCGUCUGAUACUGGAUGGCUUGAGUUCGGGAGAGGGAUGCGGAAUUCCAGGUGUAGCGGUGAAAUGCGUAGAUAUCUGGAGGAACACCGGUGGCGAAGGCGGCAUCCUGGACCGGCAUUGACGCUGAGGCGCGAAAGCUAGGGGAGCAAACGGG
This 253-nucleotide ribosomal RNA is filed under the name uncultured bacterium. RNAcentral describes it as "partial 16S ribosomal RNA". It matches the Rfam family "Bacterial small subunit ribosomal RNA", at positions 524 to 776 of the family's 1533-position model. The record is from RNAcentral.